This 253-nucleotide ribosomal RNA is filed under the name uncultured bacterium. RNAcentral describes it as "partial 16S ribosomal RNA". It matches the Rfam family "Bacterial small subunit ribosomal RNA", at positions 524 to 776 of the family's 1533-position model. The record is from RNAcentral.
UACGUAGGGCGCAAGCGUUGUCCGGAAUCAUUGGGCGUAAAGAGCUCGUAGGCGGCCUGUUGCGUCCGCUGUGAAAUCCCGGGGCUUAACCCCGGGCGUGCAGUGGAUACGGGCUGGCUGGAGGCAGGCAGGGGAGAACGGAAUUCCCGGUGUAGCGGUGAAAUGCGCAGAUAUCGGGAGGAACACCGGUGGCGAAGGCGGUUCUCUGGGCAUGUACUGACGCUGAGGAGCGAAAGCGUGGGGAGCGAACAGG